AUUGAACGCUGGCGGCAUGCCUUACACAUGCAAGUCGAACGGUAACGCGGGGCAACCUGGCGACGAGUGGCGAACGGGUGAGCAAUACAUCGGAACGUGCCCAGUAGUGGGGGAUAGCCCGGCGAAAGCCGGAUUAAUACCGCAUACGACCUACGGGUGAAAGCGGGGGAUCGCAAGACCUCGCGCUCUUGCAGCGGCCGAUGUCAGAUUAGCUAGUUGGUGGGGUAAAGGCCUACCAAGGCGACGAUCUGUAGCUGGUCUGAGAGGACGACCAGCCACACUGGGACUGAGACACGGCCCAGACUCCUACGGGAGGCAGCAGUGGGGAAUUUUGGACAAUGGGGGCAACCCUGAUCCAGCCAUGCCGCGUGCGGGAAGAAGGCCUUCGGGUUGUAAACCGCUUUUGUCGGGGAAGAAACGGUCUGCGCUAAUACCGCGGACUAAUGACGGUACCCGAAGAAUAAGCACCGGCUAACUACGUGCCAGCCGCCGCAGUAA
Molecule: ribosomal RNA, 498 nt
Filed under: uncultured bacterium
Lineage: Bacteria
Description: partial 16S ribosomal RNA
Rfam family: Bacterial small subunit ribosomal RNA
Source: RNAcentral